GUACCAUUGUGAGGACAUCUUUUCAGUAAUUCCUUGAGCCGAUCCCAAGCUUCAAACACAGUUUCAGAUUCAAGUUGUCCAAAGUUGUUUAUUUCCUUCUUCAUUCU
This is a small nucleolar RNA of Lycium barbarum (goji berry), 107 nucleotides long. The record is from RefSeq and is a predicted model, not a curated record. NCBI's taxonomy places the organism in Eukaryota, Viridiplantae, Streptophyta, Magnoliopsida, Solanales, Solanaceae.